This 440-nucleotide ribosomal RNA is filed under the name uncultured bacterium. Its description in RNAcentral is "partial 16S ribosomal RNA". It matches the Rfam family "Bacterial small subunit ribosomal RNA", at positions 338 to 795 of the family's 1533-position model. The record is from RNAcentral.
CCUACGGGUGGCAGCAGUGGGGGAUAUUGCACAAUGGGGGAAACCCUGAUGCAGCGACGCCGCGUGGGUGAAGAAGCGCCUCGGCGCGUACAGCCCUGUCAGCAGGGAAGAAAAUGACGGUACCUGAAGAAGAAGCCCCGUCUGACUACGUUCCAGCAGCCGCGGGAAUACGUAGGGGGCAAGCGUUAUCCGGAUUUACUGGGUGUAAAGGGGGCGCAGACGGCGAGGCAAGCCAGGAGUGAAAGCCCGGGGCCCAACCCCGGGACUGCUCUUGGAACUGCGGGGCUAGAGUGCAGGAGGGGCAGGCGGAAUUUCUGGUGUAGCGGUGAAAUGCGUAGAUAUCAGGAGGAAAACCGGUGGCGAAGGCGGCCUGCUGGACUGCAACUGACGUUGAGGCACGAAAGCGUGGGGAGCAAACAGGAUUAGAUACCCGAGUAGUC